AAUAACAUCACUUGAGAUUUUACUGAAUUUAGAAAGAGUGAAUAACUAGACGUACCUUCCUGGUACGCUUCGGCAGCAAAUCAGGCUCGUUUGUUAUCGCCAGGGGUGUAUUGGCUCGACUGCGUGCCAAAAUGGUACGAUUAGGUGAGAACUGGAUGAAAUAUAUAUUAGAUCAUGCAAGAAAGAACACGUGGAUGAUUGUCGCGAGCGCUGGCGCUGGCAAGAAGAGCGAGAGUUUUUCAACAGGCUGUAUUUUAGUGCAAAGCAAAAAGGCAAAAAAGGUUAUGAACUUCAGUGCCUUCAGAGGAUGAAGUCCAACAUCAUAUCACAAUCUGCUGCUUCAAUUAAACAAUGGUCGAAAGUAAAAGUGAGGAUUCUGUUACAACUGCAAAGAGAGCUGAGGAAAAGGAAAGUGGAAAGGGAGCAUGCCUGUAUGUGUCCUCAGCAAAAAGUUCAGAUUCAACAACAAUCAUCAUCAAGAAGCUGGAGACCAUUAGGAUUUACUGUUAACAUUAGGAAUCAAGCAUUGCAUCAGCUUCACAGUUAUGUGCCUCCAUGAGGAUGGCUCUUAUUGUGUUGGAAGACUGUGAAGAAAACAAUUUCAUUGAGACUAUCAACACUCACCAUCACUGAUAUGACCUCAACUUCAAGUUGAAAAUUGUUGCCAAAGCUGGGGCAGUCAACAACAAUCGUGAAAUUGCCCAUGAAUAUGGCAUUUCAGAAUUCAUGGUGAGAAAAUGAUGCAACCAGCAACAUGUCCUGUUUUCUGGUGGGCUGCUGAUGACAACAAAGUGUGCAUCCUUGCAACACUACAAACCAAAAGACCUGAGUUGGAUUUCAUGUUACC
Non-coding RNA from Pocillopora verrucosa, 847 nucleotides. Lineage: Eukaryota; Metazoa; Cnidaria; Anthozoa; Scleractinia; Pocilloporidae. The record is from RefSeq and is a predicted model, not a curated record.